UACAGGGGGUGCAAACGUUGCUCGGAAUUAUUGGGCGUAAAGCGCGCGUAGGCGGCUACUUAAGUCGGAUGUGAAAGCCCUUGGCUCAACUGAGGAAGUGCACCCGAAACUGAGUGGCUUGAGUACUAAAGAGGGUCGCGGAAUUCCCGGUGUAGAGGUGAAAUUCGUAGAUAUCGGGAGGAACACCGGUGGCGAAGGCGGCGACCUGGGGUAGAUACUGACGCUGAGGCGCGAAAGCGU
Molecule: ribosomal RNA, 240 nt
Filed under: uncultured bacterium
Lineage: Bacteria
Description: partial 16S ribosomal RNA
Rfam family: Bacterial small subunit ribosomal RNA
Source: RNAcentral